Molecule: ribosomal RNA, 253 nt
Filed under: uncultured bacterium
Lineage: Bacteria
Description: partial 16S ribosomal RNA
Rfam family: Bacterial small subunit ribosomal RNA
Source: RNAcentral
UACGUAGGGGGCGAGCGUUGUCCGGAUUUACUGGGCGUAAAGGGCGCGUAGGCGGCCUUCUAAGUCGAACGUGAAAUCCCCGGGCUCAACCCGGGAACUGCGUCCGAUACUGGAAGGCUUGAAUCCGGGAGAGGGAUGCGGAAUUCCAGGUGUAGCGGUGAAAUGCGUAGAUAUCUGGAGGAACACCGGUGGCGAAGGCGGCAUCCUGGACCGGUAUUGACGCUGAGGCGCGAAAGCCAGGGGAGCAAACGGG